Molecule: ribosomal RNA, 403 nt
Filed under: uncultured bacterium
Lineage: Bacteria
Description: bacterial SSU rRNA
Rfam family: Bacterial small subunit ribosomal RNA
Source: RNAcentral
UUUUGGACAAUGGGGGCAACCCUGAUCCAGCAAUGCCGCGUGCAGGAAGAAGGCCUUCGGGUUGUAAACUGCUUUUGUCAGGGAAGAAAUCCUGUGGGUUAAUACCUCGUGGGGAUGACGGUACCUGAAGAAUAAGCACCGGCUAACUACGUGCCAGCAGCCGCGGUAAUACGUAGGGUGCGAGCGUUAAUCGGAAUUACUGGGCGUAAAGCGUGCGCAGGCGGUUUUGUAAGACAGAGGUGAAAUCCCCGGGCUCAACCUGGGAACUGCCUUUGUGACUGCAAGGCUGGAGUACGGCAGAGGGGGAUGGAAUUCCGCGUGUAGCAGUGAAAUGCGUAGAUAUGCGGAGGAACACCGAUGGCGAAGGCAAUCCCCUGGGCCUGUACUGACCCUCAUGCACGAA